AAAGUUUUUAGAAUUUAAUCUUGACCACAAAUAAUAAAAACAAAAUUAGAUACAUUUUAAUCUAGACCAUUUAUUUUUAUAAGGACAAAUUUAGACCUUUGAAUCAAAAAGUAAUAAAAUAAAUUUGUCCUAGUCACGUUAAAUGUGAGGGUUUAAUUGAUAAUUAUGCAAAUUUAAAUUGCACAAAGUUACAAAUUUAAUAGUUUUUUUUUUAACUUUUUUUUUACAAUUAACCCUAAUUUGUGGUUUCUAACGUGAUUUCUCUAGUAAUAGAUAAUAUAACAGAUGACAUGAAAUUUUUGUUAAAUAUACUAACAGUUUAUUGAUAGUCAGGUCAAUUUGAUACAUGAAUUAAAUAUGAUUCCUUAAUUGACAAUUAUGUAAACUUAAGAGUUUAAUUAUAAAAAUUAAUAAAUUUUAUUUUUAUUUUUUUACAAUUAACCCUUGAUAGAUGAGUUAAAAAUUUUAUUUAAAUAGAAAAUCAAAUAACAAAGAAUUUUUU
RNAcentral lists this unclassified non-coding RNA (502 nucleotides) under Hevea brasiliensis (rubber tree). Lineage: Eukaryota; Viridiplantae; Streptophyta; Magnoliopsida; Malpighiales; Euphorbiaceae. The record is from RNAcentral.